CGGGAGGCAGCAGUGGGGGAAUUUUGGACAAUGGGGGCAACCCUGAUCCAGCCAUGCCGCGUGCGGGAAGAAGGCCUUCGGGUUGUAAACCGCUUUUGGCCGGGAAGAAAAGGUUCGAGGCUAAUACCUUGGGAUUUUUGAACGGUACCGGCAAGAAUAAGCACCGGCUAACUACGUGCCAGCCACCCGCGGUA
RNAcentral lists this ribosomal RNA (194 nucleotides) under uncultured bacterium. RNAcentral describes it as "partial 16S ribosomal RNA". It matches the Rfam family "Bacterial small subunit ribosomal RNA", at positions 342 to 522 of the family's 1533-position model. The record is from RNAcentral.